GUAAGGAAUAUUGCGCAAUGGACGAAAGUCUGACGCAGCGACGCCGCGUGGGGGAUGAAGGUCUUCGGAUUGUAAACCCCUUUCGGCAGGGAAGAUGGAACGGGUAACCGUUCGGACGGUACCUGCAGAAGCAGCCACGGCUAACUUCGUGCCAGCAGCCGCGGUAAUACGAAGGUGGCAAGCGUUGUUCGGAUUCACUGGGCGUACAGGGAGCGUAGGCGGUUGAGUAAGCCCUCCGUGAAAUCUCCGGGCCUAACCCGGAAAGUGCAGAGGGGACUGCUCGGCUAGAGGAUGGGAGAGGAGCGCGGAAUUCCCGGUGUAGCGGUGAAAUGCGUAGAGAUCGGGAGGAAGGCCGGUGGCGAAGGCGGCGCUCUGGAACAUUUCUGACGCUGAGGCUCGAAAGCGUGGGGAGCAAACAGGAUUAGAAACCCGGGUAGUCC
Molecule: ribosomal RNA, 440 nt
Filed under: uncultured bacterium
Lineage: Bacteria
Description: bacterial SSU rRNA
Rfam family: Bacterial small subunit ribosomal RNA
Source: RNAcentral